Molecule: ribosomal RNA, 405 nt
Filed under: uncultured bacterium
Lineage: Bacteria
Description: bacterial SSU rRNA
Rfam family: Bacterial small subunit ribosomal RNA
Source: RNAcentral
UAGCCUUGACAUAUAUUAGAAUCCGACAGAGAUGGAGAAGUGCCUUCGGGAGCUUUUAUACAGGUGCUGCACGGCUGUCGUCAGCUCGUGUCGUGAGAUGUUGGGUUAAGUCCCGCAACGAGCGCAACCCUCGUCAUUAGUUACUAACGGUUCGGCCGAGGACUCUAAUGAGACUGCCUUCGUAAGGAGGAGGAAGGUGAGGACGACGUCAAGUCAUCAUGGCCCUUACGGCUAGGGCAACACACGUGCUACAAUGGUCAGGACAGUGAGACGCGAUACCGCGAGGUGGAGCAAAUCUAUAAACCUGAUCUCAGUUCGGAUUGUAGUCUGCAACUCGACUGCUUGAAGCUGGAAUCACUAGUAAUCGUAAAUCAGCUAUGCUACGGUGAAUACGUUCCCGGGUCU